CCAUUGGAUAGCUCAGUGGUAGAGCAGCCGCGAAAGCGGUAGGCCGCGGGUUCGAAUCCCGCUCCAGGGCA
This 71-nucleotide transfer RNA is filed under the name Nitrospinota bacterium. Its description in RNAcentral is "tRNA-OTHER". It matches the Rfam family "tRNA". Rfam says of the family: Transfer RNA (tRNA) molecules are approximately 80 nucleotides in length. Lineage: Bacteria; Pseudomonadati; Nitrospinota. The record is from RNAcentral.